AGAAAUAUGUCAUGAAGCUGUUAUCAAUAGUCCUGGCUCAAACCAAGAUAGCAUGAGAGUCUCAAGGCUGUGGGCUCCCUGGCUAGGUUCUCAAUAAAGAUUGCCUCUACAGGCCUCAGUGGCAACCCCGUCAGGACCCCUCUCACUCCUGAGAGCUUUCUCUGUGCCUUUUCUUAAUAAACUUCUAUCUCUUCACUCACUCUCUGUUGUGCUCCACAUUCGUUCUUCUGUUCCAUGAGACAAGAACCAAGCUCUCCUGUAUCACCUCUGUUUGGCGAUUUGCAAAAACAAUCUUACGCUAUAAAACGCUGAAAGGUUCUAAUCACCAGUUCCAGAAUGUGUGGGGAAAGUGGUUACCCCACACCAUCAAGCAAUUUAGUGUUGGGAAAGAGUAUGAAGCUUCCAUGCCAUCUCCAGACCUGCCAUUUUCCCCAAAUCUGUACAUGUUAAUCAACUCAGAAGCUCUCUGAACACUAUCCUAUUGAAUUUUUAUGGAGACUUCAUUACACAGGCAUGGUUGAUUAAAUCAUUGAUCAUUGGUGAUUGAUUCAACCUCCAGCCACAGAAAUGCCAAAAUUUUAGGAGCUCUCUGCUAGAAAUGGGGAGAAAGACUAAGUCUAUGUUCUUUAUAAAUCACAAUAUGACAUAGGUCUAGUAGAAUUCUGAGCUGAAAUAUGUAUGGUCAUCUUUUUCUUGUUCCUGAUUACAGAUAGAAAUAAUUCAAUAUUUUACCAUUAAACUCGUUGUUAGAUUUUCACAACAUUUAUUAGAUUUUAACAUUUCUAUUUAUGAUUUGCUGUGUUAUUUUAAAUUACAAGUGGAUUUAGAUUUUAUCAAAUCCUUUUAAAAUAUCCAUUGAAAGGAACAUGAA
This 871-nucleotide long non-coding RNA is filed under the name Vulpes vulpes (red fox). RNAcentral describes it as "lncRNA (ENSVVUG00000011049.1)". The record is from RNAcentral. Lineage: Eukaryota; Metazoa; Chordata; Mammalia; Carnivora; Canidae.